AUCCUGUUAAGUCAGGCAACGAACGAGAUCCGCACCUUUAUUUGCCACCAAGAAGUCACGACUUCGUUGGGAACACUAAAGGGACCGCCGUCGAUAAGACGGAGGAAGGAGCGGGCAAAGGCAGGUCAGUAUGCCCCGAAACCCCUGGGCUACACGCGGGCUGCAAUGGUAUGAACAAUGGGCUGUGACUCCGAAAGGAGAAACCAAUCCCGAAAUCAUAUCUCAGUUGGAAUUGUCGGCUGUAACCCGCCGACAUGAACGCGGAAUCCCUAGUAAUCGUGUGUCAUCAUCGCACGGUGAAUACGUCUCUGCUCCUUGCACACACCGCCCGUCGCUCCAUCCGAGUGUGCUAAAAAUGAGGUUUGGUCAAUUUGGUCAUAUCGAGUUUCUAGUAUGCGAGGAGGGAGAAGUCGUAACAAGGUAGCCGUAGGGGAACCUGCGGCUGGAUCACCUCCUAU
This 458-nucleotide ribosomal RNA is filed under the name Promethearchaeota archaeon. Its description in RNAcentral is "bacterial SSU rRNA". It matches the Rfam family "Archaeal small subunit ribosomal RNA", at positions 1023 to 1478 of the family's 1478-position model. Lineage: Archaea; Promethearchaeati; Promethearchaeota. The record is from RNAcentral.